Molecule: ribosomal RNA, 497 nt
Filed under: uncultured bacterium
Lineage: Bacteria
Description: partial 16S ribosomal RNA
Rfam family: Bacterial small subunit ribosomal RNA
Source: RNAcentral
GACGAACGCUGGCGGCGUGCCUAAUACAUGCAAGUUGAGCGCUGAAGGUUGGUACUUGUCCCAACUGGAUGAGCAGCGAACGGGUGAGUAACGCGUGGGGAAUCUGCCUUUGAGCGGGGGACAACAUUUGGAAACGAGUGCUAAUACCGCAUAAAAACUUUAAACACAAGUUUUAAGUUUGAAAGAUGCAAUUGCAUCACUCAAAGAUGAUCCCGCGUUGUAUUAGCUAGUUGGUGAGGUAAAGGCUCACCAAGGCGAUGAUACAUAGCCGACCUGAGAGGGUGAUCGGCCACAUUGGGACUGAGACACGGCCCAAACUCCUACGGGAGGCAGCAGUAGGGAAUCUUCGGCAAUGGACGAAAGUCUGACCGAGCAACGCCGCGUGAGUGAAGAAGGGUUUCGGAUCGUAAAACUCUGUUGGUAGAGAAGAACGUUGGUGAGAGUGGAAAGCUCAUCAAGUGACGGUAACUACCCAGAAAGGGACGGCUAACUACGUG